Molecule: ribosomal RNA, 938 nt
Rfam family: Eukaryotic large subunit ribosomal RNA
AAGAACUAACAGGAUUCCCCUAGUAACUGCGAGUGAAGCGGGAAAAGCUCAAAUUUAAAAUCUGGCAGUCUUCGAUUGUCCGAGUUGUAAUCUAGAGAAGCAUUAUCCGCGCUGGACCGUGUACAAGUCUCCUGGAAUGGAGCGUCAUAGAGGGUGAGAAUCCCGUCUUUGACACGGACUGCCAGGGCUUUGUGAUGUGCUCUCAAAGAGUCGAGUUGUUUGGGAAUGCAGCUCAAAAUGGGUGGUAAAUUCCAUCUAAAGCUAAAUAUUGGCGAGAGACCGAUAGCGAACAAGUACCGUGAGGGAAAGAUGAAAAGAACUUUGGAAAGAGAGUUAAACAGUACGUGAAAUUGCUGAAAGGGAAACGCUUGAAGUCAGUCGCGUUGUCCGGGAAUCAACCUUGCUUUUGCUGGGCGUACUUCCUGGUCAACGGGUCAGCAUCAAUUUUGACCGUUGGAAAAAGUGGCUGGGAAUGUGGCAUCUUCGGAUGUGUUAUAGCCCAGUUUCGUAUACAACGGUUGGGAUUGAGGAACUCAGCACGCCGCAAGGCCGGGUUUUUAACCACGUUCGUGCUUAGGAUGCUGGCAUAAUGGCUUUAAUCGACCCGUCUUGAAACACGGACCAAGGAGUCUAACAUGCCUGCGAGUGUUUGGGUGGAAAACCCGAGCGCGUAAUGAAAGUGAAAGUUGAGAUCCCUGUCGUGGGGAGCAUCGACGCCCGGACUUGAACUUCUGUGACGGAUCCGCGGUAGAGCAUGUAUGUUGGGACCCGAAAGAUGGUGAACUAUGCCUGAAUAGGGUGAAGCCAGAGGAAACUCUGGUGGAGGCUCGUAGCGAUUCUGACGUGCAAAUCGAUCGUCAAAUUUGGGUAUAGGGGCGAAAGACUAAUCGAACCAUCUAGUAGCUGGUUCCUGCGUAUUUCCCCCCCCCGAAAAAAAU